AAUUCGAUGAUACGCGAGGAACCGUUACCUGGGCUUAAAUGGGGAGUGACAGCUGUCGAAAGAUGGUUUUCUUCGGACACUCUUCAAGGUGCUGCAUGGUUGUCGUCAGCUCGUGCCGUGAGGUGUCGGGUUAAGUCCCAUAACGAGCGCAACCCUUACCGUUAGUUACCAUCAGGUUAAGCUGGGGACUCUAGCGGGACUGCCACCGUAAGGUGAGAGGAAGUGGGGAUGACGUCAAAUCAGCACGGCCCUUAUGUCCAGGGCUACACACGUGUUACAAUGGCCAGUACAAAGGGCAGCUACCGGGUGACCGGAUGCUAAUCUCUAAAGCUGGUCUCAGUUCGGAUCGAAGUCUGCAACCCGACUUCGUGAAGCUGGAUUCGCUAGUAAUCGCGCAUCAGCCAUGGCGCGGUGAAUACGUUCCCGGGCCUU
RNAcentral lists this ribosomal RNA (432 nucleotides) under uncultured Sphingobacteriales bacterium. RNAcentral's name for it is "bacterial SSU rRNA". It matches the Rfam family "Bacterial small subunit ribosomal RNA", at positions 948 to 1382 of the family's 1533-position model. The record is from RNAcentral. Lineage: Bacteria; Pseudomonadati; Bacteroidota; Sphingobacteriia; Sphingobacteriales.